Molecule: long non-coding RNA, 3742 nt
Organism: Anguilla rostrata (American eel)
Lineage: Eukaryota; Metazoa; Chordata; Actinopteri; Anguilliformes; Anguillidae
Exons: 2
Source: RefSeq, a predicted model, not a curated record
UUGAUUCGGAAAAUAAGAUAAGAGAAAAAUAGAUAUUUGACCCAUGCUGAUUAUUGAACCCUUAAGUAUCCUAAAGUAGGUUAUAUUAUUUCAUUCUCUCAAAAUUAACAAAUAAAGGAGAAACGAAAACAAAUACAUUGUUUCUGCAUUGUGGAUUAGGCACAGUCUAGGCCUACUUUCAGUAGGCUACUGUAGGCCUAUUUGCAGUGUCAACUUGGAGGACGUGAAUCUCAUCUAGUGAACGGAAACGACGCAGCGUCGUGUGAAACGUUGGCCUAAACCACAGUUCAGUGGCCUAAUCAAGUAGGAACGGUGAGGAAAAAGACCUUUACCCAUGGAUUUUCGGAUCAAAGGAGAAAAUGAAUGGAAGUUUCACAUAAGCGUCCGUUCCACAGUCUGUGAUUUAAAUUGGCGUUUUAAACUUGGACUUUUUCCGCAUACAUUUCUCUCUGAAACGGUAGGCUACUGGAUCCACUUAAUUCCGAUGCCGCUUUCCAACCAAAAAAAAUAUUUUGCUAGCAGCAAGCCAACAGCUGCGAAUGUAAUUUACGUCAUAGCUACAUCAGUGCAAUAUUUUUGAUCCAGAAGUCUUGAAAAUGCCAAAGAGCCUGAUGGAAAUGACUACACGAUUUAGUUCUGAGGCAUUUUGACCAAGAAGCUAAAACCUAUGCUAGAUACUGGCAGAGAGGAAGAUACAAAGAUUCAAUGCAACUUCAGAUUUACCAUGCAUCAAUAAACAAUGGGGCUGAUCAACGUAAUCAGUGUAUUGACUACUUCAACAAACAAUGCUCUAUAGCUACGACCACAGUUCAGAAGUUGUCCCUGUUUCCAGAAAACUUUUGUAGCUAGGUCUGCUCCGGUUUGAAUUCCUUUUGGUUUUCAUCGUUUUGAAUAAACGCAAAUUGCUCCGCUUGGUUAGAAAAUGGUGGGCAGGGUAUACAAGAAAAAACAGCGUUCCCGGCAUGGGUCCUGUGUUAUGACGUUUGAAGGGUUUCUCCGUAAUUGCACUCGUAGGAUUCAAGUUCUAAUGCGGAACAUACAUGUCUAAUUUUCCACGCAUCUGUGGUAAAAUAGGCUAUCCUUAUUCGAAAUUAGUGAAGGUCUAAUUUCCAUUCUGAAACUAAAGCGAAGUCAUAUCAAAAUAAUUCCGAAUUCAGAACUCCUGCGUUUUGUGAAAUAUGUUAAAUUGAAACUUCAUGUUGUGAACGGGUAUCGUUAUUUAAAUGUUUCUGCAGCUCCUCUGUGGGUGUUGGAGUUUAAUAACAAUAGAUUGCUGACAUUUUGCCCCAUGACCACUAGAUGUUGCUGGUAUUGCAGCUCAGACAUAGGCUGUUCUUUCCCAAGGAUAGCAGGUGUGCUUUUAAGCAUGCUUAGUCUGUAAGACAAGUCCCUCCUGAUAAGCAUCAGCUAAGUCAGUGUAAUGUUGUGAAACAGAUGAUCACAUAUCCAGAUUACCCACAUUGAGUGGUAUUCAUAAAUGUAAUAAAAUGCAACCAGAUUAUAUACAAAAGUUUAAAAAAAUAACUUGAUGUUUAAUAUAAAUCAUUUUUAGUGAACCUUGAGGCUGAAGCUUGACUUCAAAUCAGGGUCAUAUAGAAGUAACUGUUUGCAGGAAUGGUUAAAGACAGAAGAGAAGGGGGCAAAGCAACUGCAAGAUGAAGUCAACAGGGAAGACAAGUUCACGGGCAGUGUAGUCUGUUGUGCUGAAGCACGGAUAGUGAGAACUAUUGCGCAAGAAUACACUGAGUACCCUGCAAAGGGACGAAGGAGAAGAGACAGAGACUGUAUAUUGCAACAGGCUGUAAAUGCUGAACACUGCUUUCCAAACCAUGGUAUUUCACAGAGCAGCACUUUUGAAACUGCAUGCUUUUGGAACCAUGGUAAUUCGCAGAGGGACGCUAGAAACUGCUCACCAAAAAAAUGAACCACAAAGCAACAGGGGGGUGAAAUUUUUAGAAGACCAACUCUGGCCAGCCAUCUGAGAAACAGAUCUUUGCUUCAAUGAUACAAAAGGAAGAUGGGACUGUCCAGUCAUGCCACUUCACUGAGAAAACAUGUUUUGAGGGCCAUUCCACUUUUAUAUUGCAUCAUCUCCAACGGGAACGAGUUUUCUCUGAAAAACAUCCUUCCUCUGGAAUAUGAUGAUACUCUCUGUGUAGAGGGAGGAGACUGCUGAGCAGCACGUUACCUGUCCAGGUGAGUCUGGGUGUGGCCCCAUGUAAGUGGCCCUGCUCUCAAGGCCCAGGUUCAUCCCCCCAGAGGUGGUGCUGAGGCGCCGGCUUAACUCCAGCUCGAUCUCGGCGUCCAUCUCGGCGUCCUCCUUGGCCUCCUUGUUGCUCUCCUCCAGGUGCUUCAUCAGCACGGCCACCACCACGUUGACCAGCACAAACUGGGCGAUCAGCACGAAGGUGACGAAGUAGAUGGGUGAGAUCAGGGGCAGGUAGCUCAGGCAGUGCUUGUCCUCGCUCCUGCACUCCCGCAGGGUGUCCUGAGAAGAGCCGAGGCACAGUGAGCACUCCCCCUCAACACCCCGUCCCUCCAAGGGGACAGUCUGUUCAGUGGGGCUGUAGUCUGAGCAAGCCGUCAGUUUGACACUAACUCACCUUCAUGAUGCCAUUCCAGUUGUCUCCUGUGGACACCCUGAACAGAGUCAGAAAGGCCAUCCCAAAGUUCUGAAAUGUGGCAUGUCUGCUCAGCCCUUCACAGGGGUUGUCUUCAUUACAUUCUACAGACAAAACGACAACCGUGGAAAGACACAAAACAGGAGUUAGGAGUUAGUACACAUUUAGCCAUAUACAAUUUUAUGAGUGGGACAGGUACAACCUUGACUUCUGUAAUACCAAAGAGUAAAAAUAUCAGAGAACCACAUACUUCCAUUUAGACAUAAAUCUGUUAAUUCAGUGAUACUAGCCAGUUUAACGACUAUGAAGAACUCAUGCAGCUUAAAGAGCCUAUUUUGUCAUUUGUCAGAGGGUACCUGUACACCCUAAACUGCAAACUAUGCUAUUGUAUUGGGCCACUUACAGAUUAACAACUAGAAAGAUAAUUAUUAUGCACCUAUUUUAUAAGGGAUUCAUGUGACCAUUUCCAGGGUUCUCUCAUUCAACCUCCUCAUACGAAUCACAUACGUACAUAGCUAAAGACAAACAUACUGUACAGUAUUUUGAGUUGACAAUUACUUGAUUUAUAUUGUAAUAUUUAUUAUUUUCAAAUACUGGUUAUCUCUACGGCCAGACAGAGAAAAAGAAGUAAGUCUAUUUUUUACAUGCAGUACUCAGGACAUUCUCGGAAUUCAAGAUACGGUAAAUGAGUACAGGACAACCACAAAGCCUAAAAGGACAUAGACAGGCUUCUAAAAUGACCAGCACAGUAGUGCACUAAUGCAAAUCUUUAACACAGUUGAAAAUGCUUAGGAAUGAAGCACUGACCAAGUUUCCCAAAAAGCUCUACCCCAAGGGCGGCAUAGAUGAAGAAAAGAAGCAUGAAGAGCAGGCCAAGAUUUCCCACCUGGUGAUAGAAGGAAUGCACAUAGCAGGUUACACACGUGCACACCACACCAAAUAACUACUGCAGAAUAUUGGGAAACUUACAAGAGCCGUAAGUUAGUUGUUCGGCAUAUUGAGCACACACCACAAACACACGUCAAAUAUGGAAAACAUACAUGAUUUAAUGAGCCUGCAGGUUGUCUGAAUAUCUCUUGUUUGUAUAUCACUUGUCGGAGCCUAUGAGGCUGAGCUGUUAC